GGGGAUGUUUAGGAUUCGACAGGGAUACUGGUCUUCUUGGCGGCAUGUAGGAGGGUUGACUUCUUUAACAACACAUUCAGUUAAAUAUAACUGGCGAAAAAACAAAUUACGCUUUAGCAGCUUAAUAAGCUAAAGGCUGGUUACUUUGUUCGACUGCGGCAAGGUUAAUCGGUUCAUUAAUAGCAGUCUACGAAUAUACUUUUCCGUUUGUAAAGUUUAUUAAGAGAUAAAUCAAACUCGUUUUCUAUUGCCUGUUUAUCGGCUUAUGUAGAAAAUUAAAUUCAAUAGAUAAACUAAACAUGUAGAAACUAAGGGGAGGUGUUUUUGGACGCGGGUUCAAAUCCCGCCAUCUCCAUA
Molecule: transfer-messenger RNA, 357 nt
Filed under: Gemella bergeri ATCC 700627
Lineage: Bacteria; Bacillati; Bacillota; Bacilli; Caryophanales; Gemellaceae
Rfam family: transfer-messenger RNA
About the family: Bacterial tmRNA, also known as 10Sa RNA or SsrA, is named for its dual tRNA and mRNA-like properties. Its role is to liberate the mRNA from a stalled ribosome. To accomplish this part of the tmRNA is used as a reading frame that ends in a translation stop signal.
Source: RNAcentral